ACGCUCGACACCUACGGGAGCAGCAGUGGGGAAUAUUGCACAAUGGAGGAAACUCUGAUGCAGCGAUGCCGCGUGAGGGAAGAAGGUUUUCGGAUUGUAAACCUCUGUCUUUGGGGACGAUAAUGACGGUACCCAAGGAGGAAGCUCCGGCUAACUACGUGCCUGCAGCCGCGGUAAUCUGAGCGGGCUGGCGAAGGC
Molecule: ribosomal RNA, 198 nt
Filed under: uncultured bacterium
Lineage: Bacteria
Description: partial 16S ribosomal RNA
Rfam family: Bacterial small subunit ribosomal RNA
Source: RNAcentral